This 465-nucleotide ribosomal RNA is filed under the name Flavobacterium sp. 01WB02.1-79. Its description in RNAcentral is "bacterial SSU rRNA". It matches the Rfam family "Bacterial small subunit ribosomal RNA", at positions 1 to 475 of the family's 1533-position model. Lineage: Bacteria; Pseudomonadati; Bacteroidota; Flavobacteriia; Flavobacteriales; Flavobacteriaceae. The record is from RNAcentral.
UGAGCUUGAUCCUGGCUCAGGAUGAACGCUAGCGGCAGGCUUAACACAUGCAAGUCGAGGGGUAUAAGUCUUCGGAUUUAGAGACCGGCGCACGGGUGCGUAACGCGUAUGCAAUCUACCUUUUACAGAGGGAUAGCCCAGAGAAAUUUGGAUUAAUACCUCAUAGCAUUGCAGAAUGGCAUCAUUCAGCAAUUAAAGUCACAACGGUAAAAGAUGAGCAUGCGUCCCAUUAGCUAGUUGGUAAGGUAACGGCUUACCAAGGCUACGAUGGGUAGGGGUCCUGAGAGGGAGAUCCCCCACACUGGUACUGAGACACGGACCAGACUCCUACGGGAGGCAGCAGUGAGGAAUAUUGGACAAUGGGCGCAAGCCUGAUCCAGCCAUGCCGCGUGCAGGAUGACGGUCCUAUGGAUUGUAAACUGCUUUUAUACGAGAAGAAACACUGCUUCGUGAAGCAGCUGACGG